UACGUAGGUGGCAAGCGUUGUCCGGAUUUACUGGGUGUAAAGGGAGCGUAGACGGUUGUGCAAGUCUGGAGUGAAAGGCGGGGGCCCAACCCCCGGACUGCUCUGGAAACUGUAAAACUGGAGUGCAGGAGAGGUAAGUGGAAUUCCUAGUGUAGCGGUGAAAUGCGUAGAUAUUAGGAGGAACACCAGUGGCGAAGGCGGCUUACUGGACAGUAACUGACGCUGAGGCGCGAAAGCGUGGGGAGCAA
Molecule: ribosomal RNA, 248 nt
Filed under: uncultured Lachnospiraceae bacterium
Lineage: Bacteria; Bacillati; Bacillota; Clostridia; Lachnospirales; Lachnospiraceae
Description: partial 16S ribosomal RNA
Rfam family: Bacterial small subunit ribosomal RNA
Source: RNAcentral